CCUACGGGGGGCAGCAGUGGGGAAUAUUGUGCAAUGGGCGAAAGCCUGACGCAGCGACGCCGCGUGAGGGAUGAAGGUCUUCGGAUCGUAAACCACUGUCAGCAGGGAAGAACGGUCACUGUGCUAAUCAGCAGUGAAUUGACGGUACCUGCAGAGGAAGCACCGGCUAACUCCGUGCCAGCAGCCGCGGUAAUACGGAGGGUGCGAGCGUUAAUCGGAAUUACUGGGCGUAAAGCGCACGCAGGCGGUAUGUCAAGUCAAGGGUGAAAUCCCCGGGCUCAACGUGGGAACUGCAUCUGAAACUGGCAAACUUGAGUGUGUGAGAGGAUAGUAGAAUUCCAGGUGUAGGGGUGAAAUCCGUAGAGAUCUGGAGGAACACCAGUGGCGAAGGCGGCUUACUGGAC
This 404-nucleotide ribosomal RNA is filed under the name uncultured bacterium. RNAcentral describes it as "partial 16S ribosomal RNA". It matches the Rfam family "Bacterial small subunit ribosomal RNA", at positions 338 to 734 of the family's 1533-position model. The record is from RNAcentral.